This 464-nucleotide ribosomal RNA is filed under the name uncultured bacterium. RNAcentral's name for it is "partial 16S ribosomal RNA". It matches the Rfam family "Bacterial small subunit ribosomal RNA", at positions 339 to 795 of the family's 1533-position model. The record is from RNAcentral.
CUACGGGUGGCACCAGUGGGGAAUAUUGCACAAUGGGGGAAACCCUGAUGCAGCCAUGCCGCGUGUGUGAAGAAGGCCUUCGGGUUGUAAAGCACUUUCAGCGAGGAGGAAAGGUUGGUAGCUAAUAUCUGCCAGCUGUGACGUUACUCGCAGAAGAAGCACCGGCUAACUCCGUGCCAGCAGCCGCGGUAAUACGGAGGGUGCAAGCGUUAAUCGGAAUUACUGGGCGUAAAGCGCACGCAGGCGGUUGGAUAAGUUAGAUGUGAAAGCCCCGGGCUCAACCUGGGAAUUGCAUUUAAAACUGUCCAGCUAGAGUCUUGUAGAGGGGGGUAGAAUUCCAGGUGUAGCGGUGAAAUGCGUAGAGAUCUGGAGGAAUACCGGUGGCGAAGGCGGCCCCCUGGACAAAGACUGACGCUCAGGUGCGAAAGCGUGGGGAGCAAACAGGAUUAGAUACUCUUGUAGUC